CCCGCCAUGAUGAGAAUGGACUCAACCUCUGAAACCACGCUCUCUGAAGCUCGUGGCUGCUGCUGCUGUCUCCACUGUGACCAUUCUGAUGUAGUCCUCUUCCUGUUACCAGCUUUACCCACUCUACUAAUGGUGACGAUCUAAAAUAGAGAACCCUGGUAAUAAAUACCCCAGGCCCAGAAAAAACUUCAUGGAGUCCCUUAGUACGA
This is a non-coding RNA of Peromyscus maniculatus bairdii (prairie deer mouse), 209 nucleotides long. NCBI's taxonomy places the organism in Eukaryota, Metazoa, Chordata, Mammalia, Rodentia, Cricetidae. The record is from RefSeq and is a predicted model, not a curated record.